CUCUGGAUGAAUCCAUGAAUGAGGGAGGUCCUGUGUGGCUAACGAUUCCAUCCAGUCUACCUCUACCUCCCGACAUACAGCAUAAUUGAGAAGAGAGGAUUCUACUUCUAUCAGAAUCCACAUAAUUACACACUAUUUUUUAACAGUGUUCUACCUUAAAAGUAGCAAUAUAAAAUUGCAGUAGUUGCAGAAUAUUUUACUCUUGGGCCUGAUAAAACAUUAAACCAGAAGCUAUUCUAAAACAGCUGCCUGUCCCAACAGUUUCAGUCAAUUUUUGCAUCUGGAACAGAACGGGGAAAAUGCCAAGCAUACUUUCACCACUUACAUAUUAAUUAACUGUGUGUGUACUACAUCUUCUACCAAAACUGCUGUUUCAUGAAGAGGCCUCCUGGCAUCACCUAAAGAAAACCUGCAAAGAAAAUCAAAACAUCAAUAUUAAGUUAUCAAGAAUGGAUGACAGAACUGAUCUUAGAAGUCUUCUUCUCAAUGUUCAUAUUUUGGACUACACGUGCAGAGAACAUUUGAAAAGAAAGGGAAAAAUCUGAACAUGGAGACAGACACACAGAGGGAAGACCAUGCGAAGACACACAGGGACAAGAGAGCAACGUGACCAGGGUAAGGCAACUACAUCCCAAGGAAUGUCAAGGAUUGCUCUGCAAACACCAGAAGCUGGAAGGCACAGGAAGGAUUCUCCCCUGGAGCCUAUGGAGAGAGAGAACACAGCCCUGCUGACAACUUGAUUUUGGACUUUUAGCCUCCAGAGCUGUGAAACAAUGAGUGAUUUUUAUGGUUUUCAGUCACCCAGUUUUUGACAUUCUGUUACAGAGGCUCUAGAAAACUAAUGUACGAACAUAACAAAGUAUCAAGGAUGUUUUUCACUUUGUAAGACUAUCAUUACAGCACUCAAAUAACAUGUUGGGAUUUAAUGAAUAAAAUAUUAAGCCCAAAACAAAAUAAAGUGUGCAUUAAAACUGUCACGUUAAAAUCAGGUUGACUUUCUUUGCAUGACACAGCUAUCAAACAGGUCAUUCCUUGUUUGUUUGGUUUUUUUCCUCAAUCCCUCAAACCAGAUGUUCUUUGGCUAAGGUGGACAGCUAUCAAGCAGAGAGAAAGGUGUCAGGUGAAAGUUUCCUGAAUGAAGCAACUGAGUAAUUAAGUUGCUGCAAUCAGAGGCCCUGGAGUCCUAAAUGCCCAAAUGGCAUAUCUACUCAUUAAGCAUAGUGUGCUCAAGGGAAAUCUAAGAAAUCACCACUAAGGCCACAUUCUUUCGAAAUGGGAGGAACAUAGCACUAGGAAAUUCAUUUGGAGCCAUGUCGGUUAUUUUUCUUUUUCGAGAUGGAACUUCACAUUAAAGAAUAAAAGAAACCUUUUCUUCCAGCAAACAAAAGCAUACCUACCUUACAAGAGUUCUUUCUUAUAGUAGUUACGCUGUAACAUUUUCAUUAAAUAGUCUGUUAAUGCUUUAGAUGUGAGUACAGCCAUACUUUAGAAAAAAAAUAAUAAUAAUCGGAGCACUGUCUCGGAUCGAGGCCAUUCAGUAAAAUUAAAAGUCAGUCGGCAACAUCAAGGCGACCACAGAGUUGUUAGAUUGGCUCUAUGUUAUUUAACCUGUAUACAGUGUAUCAUUUAACUUUGGUUUAUACAAUGUAGAACAUGUUAAGAGUAUUAAGAACUCAAAUUAUAAGAUACCAUUUACUAUCUUCAUUUAAGUUUUGAUAGAACAUCUUCGAAAAUGUGAGUUUGCUAGGAAUGAAAGCUUGAGUUCCCGCUGUGGUGCAACAGGAGUGGUGGCGUCUUGGGGAGCAUUGGAUCUCCGGCCUGGCACAGUGGGUUAAGGAUCCGGCAUUGCCACAGCUACAGCUUAGGAGACAACUAUGACUCGCAUCUGAUCCCCAGCCUGGGAACUCCAUAUGCCACAGGGUAGCCAAAAGAGAGAGCGAGAGAGAGGAAGGGAGGGAGGAAGAAAAAGCUGGUGGAUCUAGGCCAUAUUUAGCUGUUAAAACUCCUUAUUUUCUUUUCCCUUCUCAGGUUUCCAAUUUACACAAACACUUCUGUUUUCCCAAUGUACUCUUUCCUAUAAUGUUUAGAAUUAACAAGGUGGAAGGUUCUAUCUAAGCCACUUGCCAUGGUCCCAAGAUUAUAAUGACCUAUAAUGGACUAUAAUAGACUAAAAAGUUCCUUCUUUUUCUUAUCUUAGUCCAUUACAUUACUAGGGCAAAUAUUAGAAUUGGGGAAAUGUAUAAAAAGACCCCUGAGGUAGUAAAUCAGUAGAGGCAUACAGAUCUAGGAGACACGGAUUCCAUUUACAUUCAAAGUAGGAGUUGAGAUUUCUACAAUCAAUCAAUCGAUAAACCUUAAU
Non-coding RNA from Sus scrofa (pig), 2359 nucleotides. NCBI's taxonomy places the organism in Eukaryota, Metazoa, Chordata, Mammalia, Artiodactyla, Suidae. The record is from RefSeq and is a predicted model, not a curated record.